This 221-nucleotide ribosomal RNA is filed under the name uncultured Pseudomonadales bacterium. RNAcentral describes it as "partial 16S ribosomal RNA". It matches the Rfam family "Bacterial small subunit ribosomal RNA", at positions 109 to 334 of the family's 1533-position model. Lineage: Bacteria; Pseudomonadati; Pseudomonadota; Gammaproteobacteria; Pseudomonadales. The record is from RNAcentral.
AGUAAUGCCUAGGAAUCUGCCUGGUAGUGGGGGACAACGUUUCGAAAGGAACGCUAAUACCGCAUACGUCCUACGGGAGAAAGCAGGGACCUUCGGGCCUUGCGCUAUCAGAUGAGCCUAGGUCGGAUUAGCUAGUUGGUGAGGUAAUGGCUCACCAAGGCGACGAUCCGUAACUGGUCUGAGAUGAUGAUCAGUCACACUGGAACUGAGACACGGUCCAG